Eriocheir sinensis (Chinese mitten crab) is the source of this 348-nucleotide long non-coding RNA. RefSeq lists it as uncharacterized. The transcript is spliced from 3 exons. The record is from RefSeq and is a predicted model, not a curated record. NCBI's taxonomy places the organism in Eukaryota, Metazoa, Arthropoda, Malacostraca, Decapoda, Varunidae.
ACGAAACGCACAAACAGGUUACGGGGCGGACACACACUUGCCGGGCGGACUGACGCAACGGCCUGUCGGGAGGAGGCGGGGCCAGUGUUAAAGGGAAGACUUGGACAGAUUGCAAAUGACGGGAUACUUCGGGUGCCCUCCCAGGAGUGCGGUUAGAUCCUGUGCAACGCGUCUGCAGUCUUCGACAACCUCACCAACGACAUACACUACUGGGACUACUAUGUGGACACUUCAGGUCCAACUUGACGGGGAUGUACAAGUGCCGCCUCCUCUUCCGACAAGCUCAAGUUGGCUCACACAUCGUCCAUCUUUCUCUGGAUGAAUCCACCCACUCCUCCCGCAUCUGCC